ACUUAUCGGUAAACACCAGUACUUCCACCAUAAUCUACUUCGCUUGCUUUUGAGAGGCGAAUUUAACAAGGAGAUGUCCUAAGAGAGAGUCUAUCGUCACCCUCUGCAUUACCUGUAAGUACCUACGUCGCUACUCAAACGUAACCACCCAUUUCGAUAAUCCCAAAUCGCUAUAAAAUUCGCUAGUAGUUCUGAUUUAUAAAAACACGCAUCUUUCUAUUAAUUUUAAUCAUUUCAUUUAAAUUUUAUUUGUUUGAAAAGGCACAAAGUUGAAAUUUUAAGUCGAAUUGACUAUUAUGUCUUGUCUUUCGACAAGCAAGCCCUUUUAAAAAUGCGUUUUUUUGCAACUGCAUUGCUUUACGCAGUUUUUCGUCUGCAGUACCAUUCCCAUCAUUUAACGGAAUUGAGUCUAAAUAAGAAAAAAAACUUACUAAGUGCCAAUUUUUUUGUAUAAAACAAGAAAUAUAAUACCCAGUAGUGCGUUAUAAAAGUUUUGAAGGGAUUUUAAGGACGUUUUGCCCUGCACUCCAUCGACAUUGAAUGCCAUUGCUAUUUCAUCGCUCAAAAUAUUUCUUAAAUUUUUCAAAACGCCGGUAGGUUGCAGCAGCGAUCUCAUAGCUUUAACCUGUGAAAAAAUAAAAUACUAUGAAGCAUGUUCAAUAGCGUGUCCCUUAUUUUUCAAAUUAAUUUGUUUUUUACGUACUUGUGAUAAUUUUUUCGAAGAUUUUUCUUGCAGUUUAUAAAAACCACAACCUCACUUUUUCCAAGGCACCUCAAAUUUCUUAGAAACAAAAUGAAAAAAAUGGAAUCUACACUAGUGCACGCAUAUGCACAAGGAAAUAAUUAUAUUGCGUUUGUAUUUAUCUUAGGUACAAUUUUAAACACUUUACAAAAUGAGUGUCGGCUGAGGAUUCCGACUUAGGAUGAAACUGGAUAUAUAAAAAUGUUGGAAAACUGGAGGUUUAAAGAUGUUCGCACACGCGCAACUCCGACUGAAUAUAUAUAAAAUGUUGGAAAACUGAGGAUGGCACACACGCCGUUUAAAGAUGUUCGCACACGCGUAACUCCGAUUGGAUAUAUAUUUAUAAAUGUUGGAAAACUGAGGUUUGGCAUACACGCCGUUUAAAGAUGUUCGCACACGCGUAACUCCGACUGGAUAUAUAUUUAUAAAUGUUGGAAAACUGAGGUUUGGCAUACACGCCGUUUAAAGAUGUUCGCACACGCGUAACUCCGACUGGAUAUAUAUUUAUAAAUGUUGGAAAACUGAGGUUUGGCACACACGCCGUUUAAAGAUGUUCGCACACGCGUAACUCCGACUGGAUAUAUAUUUAUAAAUGUUGGAAAACUGAGGUUUGGCACACACGCCGUUUAAAGAUGUUCGCACACGCGUAACUCCGACUGGAUAUAUAUUUAUAAAUGUUGGAAAACUGAGGUUUGGCAUACACGCCGUUUAAAGAUGUUCGCACACGCGUAACUCCGACUGGAUAUAUAUUUAUAAAUGUUGGAAAACUGAGGUUUGGCAUACACGCCGUUUAAAGAUGUUCGCACACGCGUAACUCCGACUGGAUAUAUAUUUAUAAAUGUUGGAAAACUGAGGUUUGGCACACACGCCGUUUAAAGAUGUUCGCACACGCGUAACUCCGACUGGAUAUAUAUUUAUAAAUGUUGGAAAACUGAGGUUUGGCAAAAAAAUUAUUCGAAAAAUAAGGGACGCGCUAAAUAUCAAUAAAACUUAAUAAUAUUUAUAAAACUUACAUAAGUGUUUUUGUUUUCGCUGUUGAGCUGGUCAUUUAAACUGAUUAGCUGCUCUUCGUUCUUUAAGGAGAAUUUGGACUGG
Long non-coding RNA from Bactrocera dorsalis (oriental fruit fly), 1837 nucleotides. RefSeq lists it as uncharacterized. The record is from RefSeq and is a predicted model, not a curated record. NCBI's taxonomy places the organism in Eukaryota, Metazoa, Arthropoda, Insecta, Diptera, Tephritidae. The transcript is spliced from 3 exons.